RNAcentral lists this ribosomal RNA (253 nucleotides) under uncultured bacterium. Its description in RNAcentral is "partial 16S ribosomal RNA". It matches the Rfam family "Bacterial small subunit ribosomal RNA", at positions 524 to 776 of the family's 1533-position model. The record is from RNAcentral.
UACAGAGGUCCCAAGCGUUGUUCGGAUUCACUGGGCGUAAAGGGUGCGCAGGUGGGUUUGCAAGUCGGAUGUGAAAUCCCCAGGCUUAACCUGGGAACUGCAUUCGAGACUGCAUUGCUAGAGUAUGGGAGAGGGAAGUGGAAUUUCCGGUGUAGCGGUGAAAUGCGUAGAUAUCGGAAGGAACAUCAGUGGCGAAAGCGACUUCCUGGACCAAUACUGACGCUCAUGUGCGAAAGCGUGGGGAGCAAACAGG